CCGGAGAGGGAGCUUGAGAAAUGGCUACCACAUCCAAGGAUGGCAGCAGGCGCGCAAAUUACCCAAUCCCAAUACGGGGAGGUAGUGACAAUAAAUAACAAUGUUGGAAUAUUUUAAAAAUUCCAACAAUUGGAAUGAGAGGAAUUUAAAUCUCUUCUCGAGGAACCAUUGGAGGGCAAGUCUGGUGCCAGCAGCCGCGGUAAUUCCAGCUCCAAUAGCGUAUGUUAAAGUUGUUGCAGUUAAAAAGCUCGUAGUCUAAACCGCAAAGUCUUUUUAAAUGGAAAUGGCGUCUCUUUCUCUUAUGUGUUUUGAUCGUCACUGUUGACUGUGGAAGUCAGUAUUCUGUACUACUUCUCAGCUCAUAGUGAACUGAUCCCGUAAUUGAAUUAGACGUCCCAGCUUUGCUUGUAUUUUGAAGUACUUUAUCAUUCGAGCUUCAUUGCUCGAGUGGUAAGCUAAUAGGACUUCAAUUGUUUACUUUGAGAAAACUAGAGUGUUCAAAGCAGGCGAAUUAAAAAUUUCUCUCGCAACUGAAUACAUUAGCAUGGGAUAAUAAAAUAGGACAUUUAUAGGGGAGAAUGCCCUUGACUUCUGAGUACCUUUGCGGGUAUUCUUUAGUUCUUACAAGGCUUCUCUCUUUGGUCCUAUUAUGUUUUUGAUUGGUGGUUCAAGGACCAAUGUAAUGAUUAAUAGGAACGGUUGGGGACAUUCAUAUUGCAUGGCUAGAGGUGAAAUUCUUGGAUUCAUGCAAGAUGAACUGCUGCGAAAGCGUUUGUCAAAGACGUUUUCAUUGAUCAAGAACGAAAGUUAGGGGAGCAAAGACGAUCAGAUACCGUCGUAGUCCUAACUAUAAACGAUGCCGACUAGGGAUCGGUGGGCGUUAAUAUAAAAUUGUUAGAGACCCACUUGUGUGUUUUAGUUUGUGGUUUUUUCCACAAUCUUUGCCUCAAGUACUCUAACAAGAAAUGACCCCAUCGGCACCUUAAUUUUUUUACUUCUUAAUGGGAAACCAAAGUUUUUGGGUUCCGGGGGGAGUAUGGUCGCAAGGCUGAAACUUAAAGGAAUUGACGGAAGAUCACCACCAGGAGUGGAAUCUGCGGCUUAAUUUGACUCAACACGGGGAAACUCACUCGGUCAGGACAUAGUAAGGAUUGACAGAUUGAUAGCUCUUUCUUAAUUUCUAUGGGUGGUGGUGCAUGGUCGUUCUUAGUUGGUGGAGUGAUUUGUCUGGUUAAUUCCGAUAACGAACGAGACCUCAACUUAUUAACUAGUGCUAAGAAAGUUCUAAUGGUUGAAGUCUAGUGAAGGUGUAGGCUGGGGAAACCUAGUUCUGCAUUAACGCUAGGUGGAUGCUUGAACAUUUCUUGGUAAUUCAACUUCUUAAAAGGACUGUUGGUAUCUAACCAAAGGAAGUGAGACAAUAACAGGUCUG
This 1432-nucleotide ribosomal RNA is filed under the name uncultured soil eukaryote. RNAcentral's name for it is "partial small subunit ribosomal RNA". It matches the Rfam family "Eukaryotic small subunit ribosomal RNA", at positions 383 to 1464 of the family's 1831-position model. The record is from RNAcentral.